This is a long non-coding RNA of Leucoraja erinaceus (little skate), 4073 nucleotides long. RefSeq lists it as uncharacterized. The transcript has 4 exons. The record is from RefSeq and is a predicted model, not a curated record. NCBI's taxonomy places the organism in Eukaryota, Metazoa, Chordata, Chondrichthyes, Rajiformes, Rajidae.
GUCACGCACCUACGAAAGCCUCCGCCGGCUCCAACAGCAGGAGCGAGAGAGCGGACAGGACAGCGCUGAGGCCGCGCAUGGUGCCGGCACAGGCCCGGUCGGCAGCCUCGGGCCCUCGCCUGACGUGCAGCUAGCUGCGGAUGAAAUGUCUCCAUCAUGGUCAUCGUGAAGGUUCCCAAAGUUCACGUGACGGAAUGAAGUUAGCAAUUUUUUCUGUGCAGAAGGUAUUGGUGCAAUAUACUGCUCACCCACAAAUGUGUCAUUAUGAGAAGUCUCAAGAAAAAGCAAAAGCAUGUUAUUUGACCAACUAAUCGGCUGAAUAUAAAUAUGUAGAUCUUUGCAGGUGUCCAAUUCCUAGCCUUUUCCUCGCCAACGUGCGCUCACUGGUAAACAAAAUGGACAAACUCCGGCUAAGGAUCACCUCCCACAACUGGAUCAAAAACUGCAACAUCCUGAUCUUCACGGAAACUUGGCUCAACACCGACGUUCCUGACAGCGCCAUCCAGCUAACGGGGCGUCAUUUACUCCAAGCGGACAGGACAUCAGACUCCGGUAAGACCAGAGGUGGGGGUCUGUGCAUUUAUGUAAAUAAAGCAUGGUACACGGACUCCACCUUCAUCGAGAGUCACUGCUCAGCUAACCUUGAGUUCCUCUUGGUUAGAUGCAGACCGUUCUAUCUGCCCAGAGAGUUCACCUCCACUGUUGUGACUGCAGCCUAUAUCCCUCCUGAUGCUAAUGCCAAGCUUGCAAUGAAAGAGCUGCAUACUUCCAUUAGCAAUCAACAGACGCACAACCCUGAGGCAGCCUUCAUUGUUGCGGGUGACUUCAAUCACUCUAACCUGAAGACUGUAUUCCCCAAAUUCCACCAACAUGUCUCCUUCCCCACUAGAGUAGACAAGACACUGGACAAAGGCUGAAGACAACAUGGCUGAAGCUUACAAAGCCAUCCCCCGCCCCCACCUUGGUCAGUCUGAUCACGUCUCAUUGUUCCUGCACCCUAAGUACUCCCCACUCAUCAGACGGGUUAAACCAACUGUGAGGACAGUUAAAGUCUGGUCAGAGGAAGCGGACUUCACACUUCAGCAGUGUUUUGGAAACACUGACUGGAAGGCGUUUGCAACCCAGGCCACCCUUGACUCCCACACGGACAUUGAUUCCUACACAUCCUCUAUUCUGGACUUUAUAAACUCCACCAUCAAUAGUGUCACCUCCCUCAAACAGGUGACCAUAUUCCCGAAUCAGAAGCCAUGGAUGAACAGCGAGGUCAGGCUACUGCUGAAAGCAUGGGACACCGCUUUCAGGUCAGGCGAUGCUCGAGCCUACAGCUCAUCCAGGGCAAACCCGAAGAGGGGCAUCAGGAAGGCCAAGCACUGCCAUAAGCUCAGGAUUGAGGAGCACUUCAAUAACAACUCCGACCCCCGACGCAUGUGGCAAGGCAUCCAGGCUAUCACGGACUAUAGACCCUCCAACACCACCCCCACAUCCAGUGACGCCUCCUUCCUUGAGGAGCUUAAUCACUUCUAUGGCCGCUAAGACAGGGACAAUCUAGAGACAGCCAUCAAGGCUGUGCUCCCUGCCGAUCACCAACCCCUCACACUCACCCCCUAUGACGUAUACGUGGCACUGAGUAGGACUAAUGCACGUAGGUCUGCUGGCCCUGACGGCAUCCCCGAGCGCGUGCUCAGGGCCUGUGCUGCGCAGCUGACAGACGUCUGGACUGACAUCUUCAACCUGUCACUUGCCCAAGCAGUUAUCCCCAUGUGCCUUAAAACCACCUCCAUCGUGCCAGUGCCAAAACACUCCACUGCGGCAAGCCUCAACGACUUCCGCCCAGUUGAAUUUACCCCAUCAUCACCAAGUCCUACGAGAGGAUGUUCCUGGUACACCUCAAAAGCUGCCUACCCCCCACACUGGAUCCCUAUCAGUUUGCCUAACGCAAGAACAGGAGUACAGAGGAUGCCAUCUCAACGGCACUUCACUCCGCCCUCUCCCACCUCGACAACAGAGACACUUACGUAAGAAUGCUGUUCAUCAAUUACAGCUCAGCAUUCAACACCAUUAUACCAUCUAAACUGAUCACCAAACUCGGUAACCUGGGCAUCGGUCCUUCCCUCUGCAACUGGAUACUGGACUUUCUAACCAACAGACCACAGUCUGUUAGGUUAGACAAGCACACUUCUUCAUCCCUCACCCUGAACACUGGCGUUCCACAGGGCUGUGUGCUGAGCCCCCUCCUCUACUCCCUCUUCACCUAUGACCUGUACAUGGUACUAACACCAUCAUCAAGUAUGCAGAUGAUACAACGGUGAUUGGCCUCAUCAGCAACAACGACGAGUCGGCCAACGGGGAGGAGGUCCAGAACUUAGCAGCAUGGUGCGCUGACAACAACCUGGCCCUUAACUCCAAGAAGACCAAGGAGCUCAUUGUAGACUUCAGGAAGUCCAGGGGCGGCACGCACACCCCCAUCCAGAUUAACGGGACGGAGGUGGAACAUGUUUCUAGCUUCAGGUUCCUGGGAGUUAACAUCGCCGAUGACCUCUCUUGGACCCGCAAUACCUCAACUCUGAUCAAGAAGGCUCACCAGCGUCUCUUCUUCCUGAGGAGACUGAAGAAGGUCCAUCUGUCUCCUCAGAUCCUGGUGAACUUCUACCGCUGCAUCAUCGAGAGCAUCCUUGCCAACUAUAUCACAGUAUGGUAUGGCAACUGCUCUGUCUCCGACCGGAAGGCCUUGCAGAGGGUGGUGAAAAUUGCCCAACACAUCACCGGUUCCUCGCUCCCCUCCAUUGAGUCUGUCCAAAGCAAGCGUUGUCUGCUCCAGCAGGUCCAGGAACAGCUUCUUCCCGGCGGCUGUCACUCUACUCAACAACGUACCUCGGUGACUGCCAAUCCCCCCCCCCCCCCCCCCGGACACUCCUCCCACAGGAAAAAUACUAUGUCUGUAUAUAUGCUAAUGUAAAUAUUUAUUCAAAUCAUAUGCUAUGUCGCUCUUCCAGGGAGAUGAUAAAUGCAUUUUGUUGUCUCUGUACUAUACACUGACAAUGACAAUUAAAGUUGAAUCUGAAUCUGAAUCGGAUGAGACAAAACAUCCCGAAGGCCUAGUCAUUGUAGCCAGCGACUUCAAUCAAGCCAACCUCAGGGGUGUACUACUAAAGUACUAUUAGCAUGUCUCUUCCACCAGGGCCAGAACAUCUUUAACCACAGCUACACAUCAAUAAGAGAAAUUUACCGCUCUGUUCGGCGGCCACAUUUCAUGAAAUCUUAUCACCUGGCCGUGCUUCCACUCCCUGCCUACAAACAAAAACCAAAAGAGGAGGAUCCGGUGCAGUGAGUUGUUCAAUGCUUGUCGGCGGACACAGAUGACAUCCUAGGCAACUGCUUUGAGUCAGUAGACUAUUCCAUCUUCAGGGAUUCUGCAGACAACCUGAAUUAGUAUACCACUACCAUGAUGGACUUCAUCUGCAAGUGUGUAGAGGAGUGUGUGCCGACAAAGACAAUCUGAGUGUUCCCCAACUGGAAACCAUGGACGAGCCAUGAGAUGCAUUCACAGUUGAAGCCAGGUCCAUUGCUGACAAGUCAAGCAAUCCUGAGCAGUACAAGAAAGCUCGAUAUAAUUUUCACUAAGUCAUCAAGGAUGUCAAGAGACAAUACCAGGACAAACUUGAGUCCCAAUAUAAUAAUUCAGAUACCUGCAGAAUGUGGCAAGGUCAGAAUACCGAAACUAGCUACAGAGUUGCAUCAGGCAACAACACUGGUGAUACUGCGGCCCCACCUGAUGAACAUAAUGUUUUCUAUGCUCCCUUUGAGCAGAAGGUCAACAGGGUGAUGAGUGAUGACAUCUAUCCAAUCAGACUCAACUAUGCCUCUUCCCAUGGUCAAUGUUGUUGAAGUUAGCUUGGCCUUCCUGAGGGUGAAAGCAACUGGCUGUAUCCUUAGAAACUGCGUGGUCCAUAUUUGGGAGUAUUCUUGGAUUUCUUUCAUCUCUCCCUACUGCGUUCCCACCUGCUUCAGGAAGACCACUAUCAUCCCAAUGACAAAGAAAAGCAAGAUCUCAUGCCUUAAUGACCACCGUACAG